UACGUAGGUCCCGAGCGUUGUCCAGAUUUAUUGGGCGUAAAGCGAGCGCAGGUGGUUUAUUAAGUCUGGUGUAAAAGGCAGUGGCUCAACCAUUGUAUGCAUUGGAAACUGGUAGACUUAAGUGCAGGAGAGGAGAGUGGAAUUCCAUGUGUAGCGGUGAAAUGCGUAGAUAUAUGGAGGAACACCGGUGGCGAAAGCGGCUCUCUGGCCUGUAACUGACACUGAGGCUCGAAAGCGUGGGGAGCAAACAGG
This 252-nucleotide ribosomal RNA is filed under the name uncultured bacterium. RNAcentral describes it as "partial 16S ribosomal RNA". It matches the Rfam family "Bacterial small subunit ribosomal RNA", at positions 524 to 776 of the family's 1533-position model. The record is from RNAcentral.